CCCGAAACCACCAGCCCAAGGUUCUCACGGAUCCAGUCAUCUCUCGUCUCCACGGAGGCCCACAGAACCAUGAGGACCCCUUUAAAAAGCUGCUGCUGGGGGGAGGCAGUGGCUGGGCACGCGAGGGGCAGGCGCCCGGGAGGCGCCCUAGUCCCAACCCCAAAGCGCCGAGGGACCCUGUGGGACUCAGGUCCGCCCUGGCCGCCCUCAAAGGCAGCAGCCUGAACCACCACGACCGGGUCAGCAGGGCACCUCGAGCGCGGCCAGGGGCGUCCUGGCGGAGCGGACACGGCGGGCAGGGCGCUGGGGCUGCGUGACCGCGGGCGCGGGAACCCGGCCAGGAGCCCGGAGUCGGCCCCGGGAGUGGGGGCCCGCGGGGGUCGCGCGGCAGGAACGAAGGUCUCCCAGCCAGGCCCGUGGGGGUCGCAGGUCGUUGGCUCUCCAUCCAGGCACCAGUCCCGGGGACUUACCUGCGCUCUGCGCUGGCAGCCAGAGCAGCGUGCGGUCCAGCCCCAGAAAUCCGGGCCUCCCACUCCCACGGCGCUACCUCCGCUGGCCCAGCAACGCCUCACGCGGACACCAGGCUGCCACGCCGACCGCCGCCACCGGCCCCGACGCUCGCCGCGAACUGGAGCACAGGCGGCCGGGCUCCUCGGCUCGGAGCGCGACCCUGCGCACGGAGCAUGCGCACACGCCCAACACCGAGGGCCGGGCGGGCCCGUGACACCUGCGAUCAACAGGUCCCGCCAGCCCCGCCCCUCGCCCCGCCCCGCCAGCCCCGCCCCCGAGCUGGCCCCGCCCCGCGCGCGACUUCCCGGGUUCUGGACCUGCCGAGCUGUGUUCCCGCGGGGGUUCCGUGGGGCGCGCGAGCCAGUUGACUUGCUCUGCGGCGCGAGAUCCCGCGAGAGCAGGAGCUCGAGUAUUUCCCCGAAGGCGGGAGCGGAGCGCGGGUUUAGCUUGGAGCAAGGUGUCUGCAGUUACCAAGAAAGCAGAGUGAAGACACCUGGAAAGAAGCUGUCGUGAUCAGUGCUUCCUGGAAGGCUGCAGGUUUGCUGUCAGAAUUCAGACAUGCUUCAUGAACACCUUUUCGUCCUGAGUAGCUUCUCACCGUCAGAACCAGAAGUAGAGUAAUAUCAUGGCCAAAUUACUGUCUAUGAGAUGAUAAACAUCAGUCGGGAAGGAAAGAAAGAAGGUAAGGGACAAUAAUACCAAAACAUGAGAGCAAAUGAUAGUAUUUUUAAUCGUGUGAUGUCUUAGAA
This 1259-nucleotide long non-coding RNA is filed under the name Rhinolophus ferrumequinum (greater horseshoe bat). RNAcentral describes it as "lncRNA (ENSRFEG00010006915.1)". The record is from RNAcentral. Lineage: Eukaryota; Metazoa; Chordata; Mammalia; Chiroptera; Rhinolophidae.